Molecule: unclassified non-coding RNA, 391 nt
Filed under: soil metagenome
Description: partial contains 5.8S ribosomal RNA, internal transcribed spacer 2, and large subunit ribosomal RNA
Rfam family: 5.8S ribosomal RNA (bases 1-122)
Source: RNAcentral
GAUGAAGAACGCAGUGAAAUGCGAUACUUGGUGUGAAUUGCAGAAUCCCGUGAACCAUCGAGUCUUUGAACGCAAGUUGCGCCCGAAGCCAUUAGGCCGAGGGCACGCCUGCCUGGGCGUCACACGUCGUUGCCCCCCCAUCUACUCCUUCGGGAUUGCGGGGGGCGGAUGAUGGCCUCCCGUGCGCCUCGUCGCGCGGUUGGCCUAAAUGCCAAGUCCUCGGCGACGCACGCCACGACAAUCGGUGGUUGCGAAACCUCGGUUGCCAGUCGUGUGCGGUCGUCGCGCAUCGAGGGCUCGAAAAAAUUGCCGGGCUUCGGCUCGACUUUCAACGCGACCCCAGGUCAGGCGGGGUUACCCGCUGAAUUUAAGCAUAUCAAUAAGCGGAGGA